GAUGAACGCUGGCGGCGUGCCUAAUACAUGCAAGUCGAGCGAACAGACGAGGAGCUUGCUCCUCUGACGUUAGCGGCGGACGGGUGAGUAACACGUGGAUAACCUACCUAUAAGACUGGGAUAACUUCGGGAAACCGGAGCUAAUACCGGAUAAUAUAUUUAACCGCAUGGUUCAAUAGUGAAAGACGGUUUUGCUGUCACUUAUAGAUGGAUCCGCUCCGCAUUAGCUAGUUGGUAAGGUAACGGCUUACCAAGGCAACGAUGCGUAGCCGACCUGAGAGGGUGAUCGGCCACACUGGAACGGGGACACGGUCCAGACUCCUACGGGAGGCAGCAGUAGGGAAUCUUGCGCAAUGGGCGAAAGCCGGACGGAGCAACGCCGCGUGGGUGAUGAAGUUCUUCGGAUCUUAAAACUCUGUUGUUAGGGAAGAACAAAUGUGUAAGUAACUAUGCACGUCUUGACGGUACCUAAUCAGAAAGCCACGGCUAACUACGUG
RNAcentral lists this ribosomal RNA (497 nucleotides) under uncultured bacterium. Its description in RNAcentral is "partial 16S ribosomal RNA". It matches the Rfam family "Bacterial small subunit ribosomal RNA", at positions 28 to 507 of the family's 1533-position model. The record is from RNAcentral.